Mustela lutreola (European mink) is the source of this 1660-nucleotide long non-coding RNA. RefSeq lists it as uncharacterized. The transcript is spliced from 3 exons. NCBI's taxonomy places the organism in Eukaryota, Metazoa, Chordata, Mammalia, Carnivora, Mustelidae. The record is from RefSeq and is a predicted model, not a curated record.
GGAGCCUAACUCUGGGCUUGACCUCAAGACGCUGAGAUCAUGACUUGAAAUGGAAUCAAGAGUCAGGCACUAAACUGACAGAGCCACCCACGUGCCUGGUAAGGUGUAUAGACGUGGGUAUAAAUGUACUCUUGGAUAAGAAUGCACACACCUGGAAAUUCAAAUGUGUGGGGUAAGACUCAAGAGAGGUAUGUGCUUAAGUAGGUAUAACCAGAUAAGGUUCAUUAUCAAAGAAACCUAAAGGUGAAGCAAAUGAAAAUGAUGGCUUUGCAUGACCCCGAGUUUGCUCAUUUCAAUUAAAGGAUGCCCUGUGGCUUUAUCAUCCCUGAGUUUUGCCUCUACGAAUAUAGCAUUUUUAAUAACUCACAUAAUUUUAUAUGAUGUUGAAAUGAUAAUUAUAAGCAUACAAAUUAGAUCCACAAAAAAUAAAUUUGAGAUUCUUUUGCACAGAUUUAUCUAUUUUUUCCUAUUUAUGUAUUUAAUCAUUUAUUACAGACACCUGGAUAUUUAGCUUUAUGCUUUGUGUUAUAAUCCAAUACUGCUUUACCUAUUUUCUCACUCAAAUUAUUCCAGCUGUGGUCACUGGGAGAUUUUUCAGUUGGUUCCUGUGUCAUUUGGACAUACUCCUAUCAUUGUGGAGUUGAGUGUUUGUUUGUUUGUUUGUUUGUUUGCUGCUGUUACUAUUGCUUUUCUUUGAGCCUUUCCUUAUUUUCUGUCACUACAAGGUGCCCGGGGCUUACUUUGUGUAUUUCCUGUCCCAAUCCUAAAUCAGCCAUUUCUCCAAGGGUCUGGUUGCUUUUAUGAGAGAACGGUGUUAGAAACCAGUAUCUCCUUGCUAUUGGGCACAGUUAUUCUUAGGUCCUCUCAUUUGGCAAAACAAAGAAAUAUAUGUGUGUGUGCAAACUAGCAUAUGUACACAUAUCUAUAAAUAUUUCGGCACGUAUUCAUUUGGAUCUAUAUUAAGAUAAACUGCUGUCUCCAGUGCUUGGCCACAUGAAUCACUCUAGUCUCUCCCUUUGCUUAUCUAUAACCUUCUGCUCCAAAAGUGAGAAACUUGGUUCUCAACAUCUACCACCCAUUUACUUUUUGUUCAGUUCCAGUUUACCUGUCUAGUGGUUUCAAAAUUAACCCAGUGGAGCUCAUCUUCGCCAAUAGAGUGCAAUCCUUUGCAUAGCUGCUUUUCCCAUUGGUCUUAUAUAGCAUUUAUACUCAAUUCACUUCCAAAGUUACUUAGAUCAGCAGACUUCCCCCCAACCCCUAUGGUAAAGAUUAUUUCCUACAUUCAUAAUGUAGUUAGAUUAUUUUGGCAUAACUUGCAUUUCAUCCUGGGAUUCCCCCCAUCUUGUAAAUGAUUUUUUAAGUUUGCAUAUAUUAAAAAAAGAAAUGAGGUUAGCAGUUAUUUAUCUGUUAGUAUUCUAGCUUCAUUCGAAGGCAAGCUAACAUACUUGCCCAUGAAGCCUUCCUAAAUCAUUGGAGACUAUAAUAAUUCCUCUUUGACUUGAGAUCAGAAUAGAGACUUCUUUUGCUUUCCUUUACCUAAGAGAAUGCUGAGCCUCACAAGGAAGAAAUCAAAUGACUUUCCAAAACCUUUUAAAAAGACAAAUGAUAAGAGACUCUUAAUCUUAGGAAACACACUGAGAGUUGCUGGAGAGGUAGGAGG